Capsicum annuum is the source of this 609-nucleotide long non-coding RNA. RefSeq lists it as uncharacterized. The record is from RefSeq and is a predicted model, not a curated record. NCBI's taxonomy places the organism in Eukaryota, Viridiplantae, Streptophyta, Magnoliopsida, Solanales, Solanaceae. The transcript is spliced from 2 exons.
UGUUCAAAUGUCCCACGAAAGAUUGCAUCGAAGGUUGAUAAUCGAAUUUUUCGAUUAUUAAAUUGGAAGACAAAUGCGCCCCGACCAUGUUUUGAGUAUUUGAUGGAUGCUAUGUUCAAUGACAAUGGCAAGGUUGUAUUUAAGAACAUAUAGCCAACUCAAACAGAAUUGGCAAAGUUUCAAAUACCACAGAAGGAUGUAAUUGAAGAUGAACGUUCAGUUGAUUCGGAUGAUGACUUCCAGGAUACACCACCACAACAGAUCAAUUAACAUCCAAAAAAGAAACAAAAGGUUGAUUCAUCAACCCAUGCAGUGAAGAAACCAUCAAUAAAAAAGUCAGUCAAUAUUGUAGACGAGCAUACCCAAAAGAGGACACCAGCUCCUCGCGCUGCAAAGGUUGUUGGUAUGAAGAUGCCAGUUUUUAAGCCAAUUCAAACACGACAUGCAACUUCUUCAAAAACGAAGAAAGUGAAGCAAAAGCAAGGGCUAUUUUUCCUCAGGUACAGUCAAAACCAGAGAGUCUUGUAGAAAUAGAAGCCCUGUCAAAGCCAGAUAGUCUUGUAAAAAAGAAACCUUCAUUUCUAAGAAUAUUUUUGAUGCAUUCUACGA